GACGAACGCUGGCGGCGUGCCUGACACAUGCAAGUCGGACGGUUCUUGCACCUUCAAGCUUGCUUGUUGGUUCAAGGAUAGUGGCGGACGGGUGAGUAACGCGUGAACACCUACCCAUUGGAGGGGUACAACCCGUCGAAAGGCGGGCUAAUACCGCGUAAGCCGUGAGGUGAAAGGCUGCUCUUUGGUGGCUGCCGAUGGAUGGGUUCGCGUCCUAUCAGCUGGUUGGUGGGGUAACGGCCUACCAAGGCUAAGACGGGUAGCCGGUCUGAGAGGGAUGGCCGGACCGACGACUGGAACUGAGACACGGUCCAGACUCCUACGGGAGGCAGCAGUGGGGAAUCUUGGGCAAUGGGGGAGACCCUGACCCAGCGACGCCGCGUGAGGGAUGAAGGUUUUCGGAUCGUAAACCUCUGUUGUACGGGAAGAAGGAUGUGACGGUACCGUACGAGUAAGCCCCGGCAAACUACGUGCCAGCAGCCGCGGUAAUAUCACGU
RNAcentral lists this ribosomal RNA (497 nucleotides) under uncultured bacterium. RNAcentral's name for it is "bacterial SSU rRNA". It matches the Rfam family "Bacterial small subunit ribosomal RNA", at positions 28 to 528 of the family's 1533-position model. The record is from RNAcentral.